Long non-coding RNA from Venturia canescens, 820 nucleotides. RefSeq lists it as uncharacterized. The record is from RefSeq and is a predicted model, not a curated record. The transcript has 3 exons. Lineage: Eukaryota; Metazoa; Arthropoda; Insecta; Hymenoptera; Ichneumonidae.
UCAAAUUACAAAUUCGUGAAUGAAAAAUCAUCAGCGAACUUCAAAAAACAGUGUAAAAAUGUCGUGCAGUUGUCAGUUGCGUAAGUCCUGCAGCGCUAUCAUUGCGGGAGAUUUCGAUUUUUAAAAAAUUCAUUAUUUUUUUGAGAAUAGCAGUCACACCUCGUUCGCUGGUCGGAAAUAGAAUAAAGUACAACUUUUAUGUUUCUCGAAAGCUCAACUGCUCUAAAGAAGAAUGGACAGGAGAUCAGUAAAAAGUUUUUAUGUCCCUUCGCUCGAGGGAAAAUGUUCCCGGAACGAAAAUUUUCGGGUUUUUGAGUCGAACUCUUUCUGGACUCGUGCCAAUUCCGUUGAGAUUAUAAGUUUUAUCAUCAUAAUAAAAAGAUAAAUAGAUCUGGAAAGGAAUGACCCACGUUAACCUGGUAAAAACAGAAAAAAAUCUAGCAGUUGGAAUUGAGGGCAUUUCUGAAAAUUGGGUUGACCAAAGAUUUGCUGAGAGUGCUAAAGCUCAAUGAACACAUUUUCCAAAUUUAGUCAUUCAUGCGGAGAGAUAUGUCGUUAUCACACAAAUGAGGCAUGAUUUUUCAAUACCGUAUAUAAAGAGGCUGACCACAUUGGUCGACACAGUCAGUCCGAUUGAACUCUCGAUACAUUCAACAUGUCAUCCCACUUUGUUGCAGCCCUUGUCAUUGCCCUCGUUUGCACACAUCUUUGUGGCGCGGACGUUGUCAAAGGGUGUGGAGAACAUUCGGAAAGGAAACUGUGUGGAAGAUGGUGCGAGCCCAGCUGCAGGCACCCCCAACAUCGUCUUUGUGGCGUCAAC